This 460-nucleotide ribosomal RNA is filed under the name uncultured bacterium. RNAcentral describes it as "partial 16S ribosomal RNA". It matches the Rfam family "Bacterial small subunit ribosomal RNA", at positions 338 to 795 of the family's 1533-position model. The record is from RNAcentral.
CCUACGGGCGGCAGCAGUGAGGAAUAUUGGUCAAUGGACGAGAGUCUGAACCAGCCAAGUAGCGUGAAGGAUGACUGCCCUAUGGGUUGUAAACUUCUUUUAUAUGGGAAUAAAAUGUUCCACGUGUGGGAUUUUGUAUGUACCAUAUGAAUAAGGAUCGGCUAACUCCGUGCCAGCAGCCGCGGUAAUACGGAGGAUCCGAGCGUUAUCCGGAUUUAUUGGGUUUAAAGGGAGCGUAGGUGGAUUGUUAAGUCAGUUGUGAAAGUUUGCGGCUCAACCGUAAAAUUGCAGUUGAAACUGGCAGUCUUGAGUACAGUAGAGGUGGGCGGAAUUCGUGGUGUAGCGGUGAAAUGCUUAGAUAUCACGAAGAAAUCCGAUUGCGAAGGCAGUUCACUGGACUGCAACUGACACUGAGGCUCGAAAGUGUGGGUAUCAAACAGGAUUAGAUACCCUAGUAGUC